CAUGACACCCAUCAGACUAUAUGCAGGGGGCGCGGAUGAGCUCUGAGGCAACAAUCGAUGGCUACCGAUGUCGGCACAAUUAAUCGAUGCCCUGAUCCCAUUUAGUGCGGCCAUCGAUGGUUUUAACGUCCCAGUUUCUGCACAUGCGUUGUGGCGCAGCCGGACAUGGUGUUCUGAGCUCUCAGUGACGCGGCCGCCGGCGCGGCUCCAUGACGUCAUUUUUGAGGGACGGGGUCGCGACGGAUGGACGGCGCCAAGGUAGACCUCAGACAGGUAUAAAGAAACAGAAUUUGAAGGCAGAUAACAACCACUUGGCCCAUCUAGUCUGCAAGACAGAUAGAUGGCUAUGAGAUAGAGUAAUAAAUAUCAAAUAUAAGAGAUAGAAAAAGCAGUAAAACAUAGA
This is a long non-coding RNA of Pseudophryne corroboree (corroboree frog), 403 nucleotides long. RefSeq lists it as uncharacterized. Lineage: Eukaryota; Metazoa; Chordata; Amphibia; Anura; Myobatrachidae. The transcript is spliced from 3 exons. The record is from RefSeq and is a predicted model, not a curated record.